UUAAAUUGGACUAAUAUUACAAUAACAUCGGGAUCGAAGUCGGGCUCGAUGAACAAUUAAUUUUAACAACACCGAAAUUCAAAGAUAUCGAAUACCGUGUUGAUGUUCCACAGAAGGAAAGUUGGAACGAGUGCCACGAACAGGGGUAUCAUGGUCAGCUUGGGAUGAAAGAAGAUGACGACAUUUUAAAGACCGUUGCUGCAUUGCCUGAGAUGAUUUUCACAGCCCUGGCCUUUGAUAAAAGUGCAUAUACAUGUAGAUGCUUAACCAAUCAGUCACUAGGCUUGUGAAUAUGGAAUCCGGAUGCUCACAAGAUUUAGGACAAGAACUGUAUAAAAAAAUGAAAUUGUGCAAGGAAAGUUUGAAGUGUCUGUUGGAAUGAUCAACAUCGAACUUGCUGAGCCUUCGUACUAAAAGUGAAUCCGUUGGUGACACCAAAUAUCUGUCAACCCUCUAUUGCAAAUUUCAUGGGAUAUUUGUGAGGAUGUGAUUCUAGCAACAUGUCAGAAGUUUUGUAUCUUCCAUAAUUGGGAUCUUUGGAACGUACAUUGGUGGAAAAUAGCAACUGUUCAUUUUAUGGGAUCUUUGUAUCAAUGUAGUUGUGUACUACAUGUAUUUUUGCAUUUAAUACAUGUGUUUGUCACUCUCGUCACUAAUUUUGUACAGUAAAUGUACAUGGGCCACUGGCACUUUAUUGUAAAUGUAUAUCCUGUUGAGGUUUCAAUGACCUCUCCCAAUCCUCGGCCAAUGUCAUUUAAUGAAUCUAACCUCUUAUUAAAAAAAAAAUGCAUACUUUAGUUUACUACAUACAUGUACAUGUAUAUCAUAACUUGAUUAUCAUUAAUUUAACCAAGGUG
Molecule: long non-coding RNA, 857 nt
Organism: Saccostrea cuccullata (small rock oyster)
Lineage: Eukaryota; Metazoa; Mollusca; Bivalvia; Ostreida; Ostreidae
Exons: 4
Source: RefSeq, a predicted model, not a curated record